ACGCAUGCGCGCAGGAGGCCGGCGCGCGGCCCCAACAGCCCGCGGGAAGCUAGCGGAGGAACUCGGUGCACUUCUGAGGUGCUGGACUUGCGAGACGAUGGAGCCGCUGAAGGUGGAAAAGUUCACGACCGCCGACAGAGGAAACGGGCUGCGCGCCGUCGCCCCUCUGCGUCCCGGAGAGCUGCUCUUCCGUUCGGAUCCCUUGGCGUACACGGUCAGCAAGGGUAGUCGUGGCGUCGUCUGUGACCACUGCCUGCUCGGGAAGGAAAAACUGAUGCGAUGCUCUCAGUGCCGAGUUGCCAAAUACUGUAGUGCUAAGUGUCAGAAAAAAGCUUGGCAGGACCACAAGCAGGAAUGCAAAUGCCUUAAAAGUUGCAAACCCAGAUAUCCUCCUGACUCUGUGCGACUUCUUGGCAGAGUUGUCAUCAAGCUUAUGGAAAAGACACCCUCUGAGUCAGAGAAACUUUACUCAUUUUAUGAUCUGGAAUCAAAUAUUAACAAACUGACUGAAGAUAAGAAAGAGGGCCUCAGGCAGCUUGCAAUGACAUUUCAACAUUUCAUGAGAGAAGAAAUACAGGAUGCUUCUCAGCUGCCACCUUCUUUUGACAUUUUUGAAGCCUUUGCAAAAUGUGUUGAACCAAGGAUCUUGUGCAUACUAGGCAGAUGUUCUUCCACUGAACUACAUCCCAAGACCCAUAAUACCUUCUUGGUGAUCUGCAACUCUUUCACCAUCUGUAAUGCAGAGAUGCAGGAAGUUGGUGUUGGCCUAUACCCCAGUAUGUCCUUGCUCAACCACAGCUGUGAUCCCAACUGCUCCAUUGUGUUCAACGGGCCCCACCUCCUGCUGCGCGCUGUUCGAGACAUCGAGGUGGGAGAGGAGCUUACUAUCUGUUACCUGGAUAUGCUGAUGACCAGUGAGGAGCGCCGGAAGCAGCUGAGGGACCAGUACUGCUUUGAGUGUGACUGUUUCCGGUGCCAAACUCAAGACAAGGAUGCAGAUAUGCUAACUGGUGAUGAGCAAGUAUGGAAAGGAGUGCAAGAAUCUCUGAAAAAAAUUGAAGAACUGAAGACACAUUGGAAGUGGGAGCAGGUUCUGGCCAUGUGCCAGUCGAUCAUAAGCAGCAACUCUGAACGGCUUCCUGAUAUCAACAUCUACCAGCUGAAGGUGCUUGACUGCGCCAUGGAUGCCUGCAUCAACCUCGGCCUGCUGGAGGAGGCACUGUUCUACGGCAUUCGGACCAUGGAGCCCUACAGGAUUUUUUUCCCAGGAAGCCAUCCGGUCAGAGGUGUGCAAGUAAUGAAAGUUGGCAAACUGCAGUUACACCAAGGCAUGUUUCCCCAAGCAAUGAAGAACCUGCGGCUGGCUUUUGUUUGUCACUAAUUUGACUUCUUGAACCUCAUGGACCACUGGCCGCAUCCAGGCUGUCUUGUCAAUGAGCUCCCAGCUUCUGUCUGAGCUCAGCAUGCUCCAGGUUCCAUCACCCCGACCUCAGCAUUGCUGCUUUGUUAGGGGAACUUUGUUAGCCGAGGCUUUUGAUAUUAUGCGAGUGACACAUGGCAGGGAACACAGCCUGAUUGAAGAUUUAAUUCUACUCCUAGAAGAUUGCGACGCCAACAUAAGGGCAUCCUGAGAAAGCAGGUGGAGAGAGAGCUGGCCCACACCUUUACUGAACACCUCACCAGGGUCACAGUCUGCAGCUCGCUGUGUGAAUCGUCCCUAUUGAAAGCGCUGUUCUGUGUUUGACUAGGUAAAUAAAGGCAGGCAUAGUUUGCCAACUCUAAGCAUCAUUUGUCAUAGUGAAGCACAAUUAUAAUAAAUAUGGAAAAAGUUGAA
Cavia porcellus (domestic guinea pig) is the source of this 1834-nucleotide RNA transcript. It is a transcript of the gene named SET and MYND domain containing 3, with no coding region annotated. NCBI's taxonomy places the organism in Eukaryota, Metazoa, Chordata, Mammalia, Rodentia, Caviidae. The record is from RefSeq and is a predicted model, not a curated record. The transcript has 14 exons.